Molecule: long non-coding RNA, 947 nt
Organism: Zea mays
Lineage: Eukaryota; Viridiplantae; Streptophyta; Magnoliopsida; Poales; Poaceae
Exons: 3
Source: RefSeq, a predicted model, not a curated record
AAGGUAGUAGUGCAUGGGAGCCACAUCUUUGAGUCACUGUUGUGCUGGCACACUAGGAGACAUCUCCCCACUGCAUGGUUGCCAGGUUCAGGGACACAUGCCCUUGUGCAGCUGCCUUAAAAGGCCUGAUGCAGUAAAGCUUUCGACCUUGUCUCGAGCUCUAGUCAUAGUCCAACUUGUGGGAGUGGUAAUCCUUGUGUUUCUGCUAGUAUAAACCCUCUCAUCAGUCCUCAGGUUUGCCCUGUACAGAACCUUGCACGUUGUGUUCCUGCACGUGGUGACCAACCCACCCAGUUGCUCAUCUCACCGUGGCCGGGGUGUCUUGAGGAGUCGCGUGCCCAGAACAGAGUCACACCGACGCGGUCUGGCGCCGUGGACAGCUUCACCACCAACUCAUCGUACCACGUCUUCUCCGAGUGUUUUCACACAAGCACAGUAAGACAGAACACCUAGAAGAAGUGGUGUUUGAAGGAGGAGUCUACUCCAGUGGCUGCUGAUCAAGUGGAGGAGCCAUCUGACUGGGUAUUGGGUGGAAAGGUCUUUAGCCUCUUCUCUGCAACAAAGGCAAGCCCCGGUGCAUUUGCCACCUCCCUUGUGUUUACAAAAUUUUAUCACUUAUAUGCUGCAUUAGGUGAUAGGAGUUGAUUGAUUAAACAAUUGAUGCAUUACCAUCCUUGAAAGAUUGAUUACCAUACCUUGUCACCUGUUUUAUAAAAGCUAGAGAUGCUUAGUCAUGCUGAUAGACUAAGAAAAAUGUUUUUCAUCUAUGACUCAUGUUUUUACAAAAAAAUGGGCUUGGGAUAAUGAAGGCAUCAAGACGUUGAUAAAUUCAUUAUCCAGGCAUGGCCCCUAUAUCAGGCGCCAAAAUUUUGAAAUAGUUUAAAAUGGGACCAGACGCUGAGCAGGAAAGGUCGCCCGUCUGUGUCGAUUAAGGACCGUACCGAUUG